RNAcentral lists this ribosomal RNA (1372 nucleotides) under uncultured bacterium. Its description in RNAcentral is "bacterial SSU rRNA". It matches the Rfam family "Bacterial small subunit ribosomal RNA", at positions 28 to 1381 of the family's 1533-position model. The record is from RNAcentral.
GAUGAACGCUGGCGGCGUGCCUAAUACAUGCAAGUCGAGCGAACGGACGAGAAGCUUGCUUCUCUGAUGUUAGCGGCGGACGGGUGAGUAACACGUGGAUAACCUACCUAUAAGACUGGGAUAACUUCGGGAAACCGGAGCUAAUACCGGAUAAUAUUUUGAACCGCAUGGUUCAAAAGUGAAAGACGGUCUUGCUGUCACUUAUAGAUGGAUCCGCGCUGCAUUAGCUAGUUGGUAAGGUAACGGCUUACCAAGGCAACGAUGCAUAGCCGACCUGAGAGGGUGAUCGGCCACACUGGAACUGAGACACGGUCCAGACUCCUACGGGAGGCAGCAGUAGGGAAUCUUCCGCAAUGGGCGAAAGCCUGACGGAGCAACGCCGCGUGAGUGAUGAAGGUCUUCGGAUCGUAAAACUCUGUUAUUAGGGAAGAACAUAUGUGUAAGUAACUGUGCACAUCUUGACGGUACCUAAUCAGAAAGCCACGGCUAACUACGUGCCAGCAGCCGCGGUAAUACGUAGGUGGCAAGCGUUAUCCGGAAUUAUUGGGCGUAAAGCGCGCGUAGGCGGUUUUUUAAGUCUGAUGUGAAAGCCCACGGCUCAACCGUGGAGGGUCAUUGGAAACUGAAAAACUUGAGUGCAGAAGAGGAAAGUGGAAUUCCAUGUGUAGCGGUGAAAUGCGCAGAGAUAUGGAGGAACACCAGUGGCGAAGGCGACUUUCUGGUCUGUAACUGACGCUGAUGUGCGAAAGCGUGGGGAUCAAACAGGAUUAGAUACCCUGGUAGUCCACGCCGUAAACGAUGAGUGCUAAGUGUUAGGGGGUUUCCGCCCCUUAGUGCUGCAGCUAACGCAUUAAGCACUCCGCCUGGGGAGUACGACCGCAAGGUUGAAACUCAAAGGAAUUGACGGGGACCCGCACAAGCGGUGGAGCAUGUGGUUUAAUUCGAAGCAACGCGAAGAACCUUACCAAAUCUUGACAUCCUUUGACAACUCUAGAGAUAGAGCCUUCCCCUUCGGGGGACAAAGUGACAGGUGGUGCAUGGUUGUCGUCAGCUCGUGUCGUGAGAUGUUGGGUUAAGUCCCGCAACGAGCGCAACCCUUAAGCUUAGUUGCCAUCAUUAAGUUGGGCACUCUAAGUUGACUGCCGGUGACAAACCGGAGGAAGGUGGGGAUGACGUCAAAUCAUCAUGCCCCUUAUGAUUUGGGCUACACACGUGCUACAAUGGACAAUACAAAGGGCAGCGAAACCGCGAGGUCAAGCAAAUCCCAUAAAGUUGUUCUCAGUUCGGAUUGUAGUCUGCAACUCGACUACAUGAAGCUGGAAUCGCUAGUAAUCGUAGAUCAGCAUGCUACGGUGAAUACGUUCCCGGGUCU